RNAcentral lists this ribosomal RNA (497 nucleotides) under uncultured bacterium. RNAcentral describes it as "partial 16S ribosomal RNA". It matches the Rfam family "Bacterial small subunit ribosomal RNA", at positions 28 to 507 of the family's 1533-position model. The record is from RNAcentral.
GAUGAACGCUGGCGGCGUGCCUAAUACAUGCAAGUCGAGCGAACAGACGAGGAGCUUGCUCCUUUGACGUUAGCGGCGGACGGGUGAGUAACGCGUAGGUAACCUACCUAUAAGACUGGGAUAACUUCGGGAAACCGGAGCUAAUACCGGAUAAUAUUUCGAACCGCAUGGUUCGAUAGUGAAAGAUGGCUUUGCUAUCACUUAUAGAUGGACCUGCGCCGUAUUAGCUAGUUGGUAAGGUAACGGCUUACCAAGGCAACGAUACGUAGCCGACCUGAGAGGGGGAUCGGCCACACUGGAACUGAGACACGGUCCAGACGCCUACGGGAGGCAGCAGUAGGGAAUCUGCCGCAAUGGGCGAAAGCAUGACGGAGCAGCGCGGCGUGAGUGAUGAAGGUCUUCGGAGCGUAAAACUCUGUUAUGAGGGAAGAACAAACGUGUAAGUAACUGUGCACGUCUUGACGGUACCUAAUCAGAAAGCCACGGCUAACUACGUG